AUUGAACGCUGGCGGCAGGCCUAACACAUGCAAGUCGAACGGUAACAGAAAGCAGCUUGCUGCUUGCUGACGAGUGGCGGACGGGUGAGUAAUGUCUGGGAAACUGCCUGAUGGAGGGGGAUAACUACUGGAAACGGUAGCUAAUACCGCAUAACGUCGCAAGACCAAAGAGGGGGACCUUCGGGCCUCUUGCCAUCGGAUGUGCCCAGAUGGGAUUAGCUUGUUGGUGGGGUAACGGCUCACCAAGGCGACGAUCUCUAGCUGGUCUGAGAGGAUGACCAGCCACACUGGAACUGAGACACGGUCCAGACUCCUACGGGAGGCAGCAGUGGGGAAUAUUGCACAAUGGGCGCAAGCCUGAUGCAGCCAUGCCGCGUGUAUGAAGAAGGCCUUCGGGUUGUAAAGUACUUUCAGCGGGGAGGAAGGGAGUAAAGUUAAUACCUUUGCUCAUUGACGUUACCCGCAGAAGAAGCACCGGCUAACUCCGUGCCAGCAGCGGC
This 500-nucleotide ribosomal RNA is filed under the name uncultured bacterium. Its description in RNAcentral is "bacterial SSU rRNA". It matches the Rfam family "Bacterial small subunit ribosomal RNA", at positions 30 to 518 of the family's 1533-position model. The record is from RNAcentral.